GAGUUUGAUCAUGGCUCAGAUUGAACGCUGGCGGCAUGCCUUACACAUGCAAGUCGAACGGCAGCAUGAUCUAGCUUGCUAGAUUGAUGGCGAGUGGCGAACGGGUGAGUAAUACAUCGGAACGUGCCCUGUAGUGGGGGAUAACUAGUCGAAAGAUUAGCUAAUACCGCAUACGACCUGAGGGUGAAAGUGGGGGACCGCAAGGCCUCAUGCUAUAGGAGCGGCCGAUGUCUGAUUAGCUAGUUGGUGGGGUAAAGGCCCACCAAGGCGACGAUCAGUAGCUGGUCUGAGAGGACGAUCAGCCACACUGGGACUGAGACACGGCCCAGACUCCUACGGGAGGCAGCAGUGGGGAAUUUGGACAAUGGGCGAAAGCCUGAUCCAGCAAUGCCGCGUGUGUGAAGAAGGCCU
Molecule: ribosomal RNA, 411 nt
Filed under: uncultured microorganism
Description: bacterial SSU rRNA
Rfam family: Bacterial small subunit ribosomal RNA
Source: RNAcentral